CCUACCAUGCAGUCGAACGAACCCUUCGGGGUUAGUGGCGCACGGGUGCGUAACGCGUGGGAAUCUGCCCUUUGCUUCGGAAUAACAGUUAGAAAUGACUGCUAAUACCGGAUGAUGUCUUCGGACCAAAGAUUUAUCGGCAAAGGAUGAGCCCGCGUAGGAUUAGGUAGUUGGUGGGGUAAAGGCCUACCAAGCCGACGAUCCUUAGCUGGUCUGAGAGGAUGAUCAGCCACACUGGGACUGAGACACGGCCCAGACUCCUACGGGAGGCAGCAGUGGGGAAUAUUGGACAAUGGACGCAAGUCUGAUCCAGCAAUGCCGCGUGAGUGAUGAAGGCCUUAGGGUUGUAAAGCUCUUUUACCAGGGAUGAUAAUGACAGUACCUGGAGAAUAAGCUCCGGCUAACUCCGUGCCAGCAGCCGCGGUAAUACGGAGGGAGCUAGCGUUGUUCGGAAUUACUGGGCGUAAAGCGCACGUAGGCGGUUACUCAAGUCAGAGGUGAAAGCCCGGGGCUCAACCCCGGAACUGCCUUUGAAACUAGGUAACUAGAAUCCUGGAGAGGUGAGUGGAAUUCCGAGUGUAGAGGUGAAAUUCGUAGAUAUUCGGAAGAACACCAGUGGCGAAGGCGGCUCACUGGACAGGUAUUGA
RNAcentral lists this ribosomal RNA (647 nucleotides) under uncultured bacterium. RNAcentral describes it as "bacterial SSU rRNA". It matches the Rfam family "Bacterial small subunit ribosomal RNA", at positions 47 to 743 of the family's 1533-position model. The record is from RNAcentral.